Molecule: small RNA, 390 nt
Filed under: Pan troglodytes (chimpanzee)
Lineage: Eukaryota; Metazoa; Chordata; Mammalia; Primates; Hominidae
Description: processed transcript
Source: RNAcentral
AAGAAUGUCGGCCGCAGGGCCAGAGUGCCUGGGUUGAAUUCUAACUCUUACAUUUGCUUGCUGUGUGCCUUGGAUCACUUUUCUCCAGAGAAUGCAAAUGACACGGCCAAGGAAACAUGCCUAAAUUGGUUUUUCAAGAUUGCCUCCAUCAGGGAACUCAUUCCAAGAUUUUACGUGGAGGCAUCCAUCCUGAAAUGUAACAAAUUCCUCUCCAAAACGGGAAUUUCAGAGUGCCUGCCCCGGUUGACAUGCAUGAUCAGAGGGAUCGGAGACCCACUGGUGUCGGUGUAUGCCCGUGCCUACCUGUGCCGGGUGGGAAUGGAAGUGGCCCCACAUCUCAAAGAAACCCUAAAUAAGAACUUUUUUGACUUCCUCCUUACGUUCAAACAG